CCUACGGGGGACAGCAGUGGGGAAUAUUGGACAAUGUGGGAACCCCUGAUCCAGCGACGCCUCGUGAGUGAAGAAGUAUUUCGGUACGUAAAGCUCUAUCAGCAGGAAAGAAAAUGACGGUACCUGACUAAGAAGCCCCGGCUAACUACCGGCCAGCAGCCGCGGUAAUACGUAGGGGGCAAGCGUUAUCCGGCGUUACUGGGUGGAAGGGGAGCGUAGACGGCAGCGCAAGUCUUGAGUGAAAUGCCGGGGCCCAACCCCGGAACUGCUCUGGAAACUGUGAAGCUGGAGUGCAGGAGAGGUAAGUGGAAUGCCUGGUGUAGCGGUGAAAUGCGUAGAUAUCAGGAGGAACACCGGCGGCGAAGGCGGCUUACUGGACUGUAACUGACGUUGAGGCUCGAAGGCGUGGGGAGCAAACAGGAUUAGAUACCCGGGUAGUC
This 440-nucleotide ribosomal RNA is filed under the name uncultured bacterium. Its description in RNAcentral is "partial 16S ribosomal RNA". It matches the Rfam family "Bacterial small subunit ribosomal RNA", at positions 338 to 795 of the family's 1533-position model. The record is from RNAcentral.